RNAcentral lists this ribosomal RNA (2773 nucleotides) under Escherichia coli. Its description in RNAcentral is "bacterial LSU rRNA". It matches the Rfam family "Bacterial large subunit ribosomal RNA". Lineage: Bacteria; Pseudomonadati; Pseudomonadota; Gammaproteobacteria; Enterobacterales; Enterobacteriaceae. The record is from RNAcentral.
AGCGUACACGGUGGAUGCCCUGGCAGUCAGAGGCGAUGAAGGACGUGCUAAUCUGCGAUAAGCGUCGGUGAGGUGAUAUGAACCGUUAUAACCGGCGAUUUCCGAAUGGGGAAACCCAGUGUGUUUCGACACACUAUCAUUAACUGAAUCCAUAGGUUAAUGAGGCGAACCGGGGGAACUGAAACAUCUAAGUACCCCGAGGAAAAGAAAUCAACCGAGAUUCCCCCAGUAGCGGCGAGCGAACGGGGAGGAGCCCAGAGCCUGAAUCAGUGUGUGUGUUAGUGGAAGCGUCUGGAAAGGCGCGCGAUACAGGGUGACAGCCCCGUACACAAAAAUACACAUAUUGUGAGCUCGAUGAGUAGGGCGGGACACGUGGUAUCCUGUCUGAAUAUGGGGGGACCAUCCUCCAAGGCUAAAUACUCCUGACUGACCGAUAGUGAACCAGUACCGUGAGGGAAAGGCGAAAAGAACCCCGGCGAGGGGAGUGAAAAAGAACCUGAAACCGUGUACGUACAAGCAGUGGGAGCCUCUUUAUGGGGUGACUGCGUACCUUUUGUAUAAUGGGUCAGCGACUUAUAUUCUGUAGCAAGGUUAACCGAAUAGGGGAGCCGAAGGGAAACCGAGUCUUAACUGGGCGUUAAGUUGCAGGGUAUAGACCCGAAACCCGGUGAUCUAGCCAUGGGCAGGUUGAAGGUUGGGUAACACUAACUGGAGGACCGAACCGACUAAUGUUGAAAAAUUAGCGGAUGACUUGUGGCUGGGGGUGAAAGGCCAAUCAAACCGGGAGAUAGCUGGUUCUCCCCGAAAGCUAUUUAGGUAGCGCCUCGUGAAUUCAUCUCCGGGGGUAGAGCACUGUUUCGGCAAGGGGGUCAUCCCGACUUACCAACCCGAUGCAAACUGCGAAUACCGGAGAAUGUUAUCACGGGAGACACACGGCGGGUGCUAACGUCCGUCGUGAAGAGGGAAACAACCCAGACCGCCAGCUAAGGUCCCAAAGUCAUGGUUAAGUGGGAAACGAUGUGGGAAGGCCCAGACAGCCAGGAUGUUGGCUUAGAAGCAGCCAUCAUUUAAAGAAAGCGUAAUAGCUCACUGGUCGAGUCGGCCUGCGCGGAAGAUGUAACGGGGCUAAACCAUGCACCGAAGCUGCGGCAGCGACACUAUGUGUUGUUGGGUAGGGGAGCGUUCUGUAAGCCUGUGAAGGUGGCCUGUGAGGGUUGCUGGAGGUAUCAGAAGUGCGAAUGCUGACAUAAGUAACGAUAAAGCGGGUGAAAAGCCCGCUCGCCGGAAGACCAAGGGUUCCUGUCCAACGUUAAUCGGGGCAGGGUGAGUCGACCCCUAAGGCGAGGCCGAAAGGCGUAGUCGAUGGGAAACAGGUUAAUAUUCCUGUACUUGGUGUUACUGCGAAGGGGGGACGGAGAAGGCUAUGUUGGCCGGGCGACGGUUGUCCCGGUUUAAGCGUGUAGGCUGGUUUUCCAGGCAAAUCCGGAAAACCAAGGCUGAGGCGUGAUGACGAGGCACUACGGUGCUGAAGCGACAAAUGCCCUGCUUCCAGGAAAAGCCUCUAAGCAUCAGGUAACAUCAAAUCGUACCCCAAACCGACACAGGUGGUCAGGUAGAGAAUACCAAGGCGCUUGAGAGAACUCGGGUGAAGGAACUAGGCAAAAUGGUGCCGUAACUUCGGGAGAAGGCACGCUGAUAUGUAGGUGAAGCGACUUGCUCGUGGAGCUGAAAUCAGUCGAAGAUACCAGCUGGCUGCAACUGUUUAUUAAAAACACAGCACUGUGCAAACACGAAAGUGGACGUAUACGGUGUGACGCCUGCCCGGUGCCGGAAGGUUAAUUGAUGGGGUUAGCGGUAACGCGAAGCUCUUGAUCGAAGCCCCGGUAAACGGCGGCCGUAACUAUAACGGUCCUAAGGUAGCGAAAUUCCUUGUCGGGUAAGUUCCGACCUGCACGAAUGGCGUAAUGAUGGCCAGGCUGUCUCCACCCGAGACUCAGUGAAAUUGAACUCGCUGUGAAGAUGCAGUGUACCCGCGGCAAGACGGAAAGACCCCGUGAACCUUUACUAUAGCUUGACACUGAACAUUGAGCCUUGAUGUGUAGGAUAGGUGGGAGGCUUUGAAGUGUGGACGCCAGUCUGCAUGGAGCCGACCUUGAAAUACCACCCUUUAAUGUUUGAUGUUCUAACGUUGGCCCGUAAUCCGGGUUGCGGACAGUGUCUGGUGGGUAGUUUGACUGGGGCGGUCUCCUCCUAAAGAGUAACGGAGGAGCACGAAGGUUGGCUAAUCCUGGUCGGACAUCAGGAGGUUAGUGCAAUGGCAUAAGCCAGCUUGACUGCGAGCGUGACGGCGCGAGCAGGUGCGAAAGCAGGUCAUAGUGAUCCGGUGGUUCUGAAUGGAAGGGCCAUCGCUCAACGGAUAAAAGGUACUCCGGGGAUAACAGGCUGAUACCGCCCAAGAGUUCAUAUCGACGGCGGUGUUUGGCACCUCGAUGUCGGCUCAUCACAUCCUGGGGCUGAAGUAGGUCCCAAGGGUAUGGCUGUUCGCCAUUUAAAGUGGUACGCGAGCUGGGUUUAGAACGUCGUGAGACAGUUCGGUCCCUAUCUGCCGUGGGCGCUGGAGAACUGAGGGGGGCUGCUCCUAGUACGAGAGGACCGGAGUGGACGCAUCACUGGUGUUCGGGUUGUCAUGCCAAUGGCACUGCCCGGUAGCUAAAUGCGGAAGAGAUAAGUGCUGAAAGCAUCUAAGCACGAAACUUGCCCCGAGAUGAGUUCU